CUCUGACAUCACCAGCCAGAAGUCAUCAAGUUCCGCAUCCUCAGAGGCAUCCGAGACCUGCCAGUCAGUCAGUGAGUGCAGCUCUCCCACAACGUCUGGCUCGUCCUUCGCUACCUUCCGCCCUGCUCUCUCUCACACUGGCUCCAUCAGGCCUCUCUCUGUCAUACUUCCUGCGUCCCCA
Salvelinus sp. IW2-2015 is the source of this 181-nucleotide long non-coding RNA. RefSeq lists it as uncharacterized. The record is from RefSeq and is a predicted model, not a curated record. Lineage: Eukaryota; Metazoa; Chordata; Actinopteri; Salmoniformes; Salmonidae.